CUCUCCGCUGGAAGGUCCUGCCAGGCCAGCUUCAAUAACCGGCAAUCAACGUUGAAGUGCGUGAUUGAACGUAACAUCGGUUUCCGUAGAUUCGAAAGUGAUCCCAUUGUAUAACCGUGGAAUCUAGAGCUAAUACAUAUAUGAUGAAAUACAGUAAUGUAUUUUAUCGGCAUUUAUUAGACAAAACCAAAUACAUUUCAAUGAAUAAUUGAUUUGUAGGUGAUUCUAGAUAACUUUGCAGAUCGCAUGGUAUAUACCGGCGACAUUUCGAUUGAAUUUCUGCCCUAUCAACUCGUUGGUAAGGUAGUGGCUUACCAAGGUUGCAACGGGUAACGGGGGAUCAGGGUUCGAUUCCGGAGAGGGAGCCUGAGAAACGGCUACCACAUCCAAGGAAGGCAGCAGGCGCGUAAAUUACCCAAUCCAGACAAUGGGAGGUGGUGACCAGAAGUACUGGGUGGUGAUCAUUGAUCGCUAAUCCCGGAAUGAGCAUAAAGUAAAAAUUUAGUCGAGAAACAACUGGAGGGCAAGUCUGGUGCCAGCAGCCGCGGUAAUUCCAGCUCCAGUGGCAUGUCGUAAAGUUGUUGCGUUUAAAACGCUCGUAGUUGGAUCAUAUGGUAUAUUAUAGUGAAUAUCUAUUUUAACAUAAUAUCCAUUUUGAACAUAAUGAGUAGUUAAAUCUACUAUUAUUGUUUAUGUAUGGGGUUAAAAUAGUAUAUUUAUAGCUAUAAUAUACUAUUUGCACGUGAGAAUAAUGAUUAGCCUUUAAUGUGUUGGUCAUUGUAUCUUACGGGGUGUGCCUUGAAUAAAUCAGAGUGCUCAAAGCAGGUAUGUGCCUGAAUGAUACAGCAUGGAACGAACAAACGUGUAACGUAAACAAGGUUACGAUUAAUUUACGAACUGUAUACCUUAUAUUUGCAUCAGCCAACCACCAUGUACGGAUGUUGGUUUCCGUAAUGGGGUGAGGAUUAAAACGACCGGUUGGGGGCAUUGGUAUUUGGCCGAGAGAGGUGAAAUUCUUAGACCGGGCCAAGGACUAACAAAAGCGAAGGCAUUUGCCAAGACCGUAUCGAUUAAUCAAGAACCAUAGAGAGAGGUUCGAAGACAAUCAAAUACCGUCCUAAUUCCCUCUUGUAAACUAUGCCAACCCGAGAACACGCCUCAGAGUUAUUAAAUUACCCCUCAAGGUUGGCCCCCCUGGGAAACCCCAAGUCUUUGCGUUACGCGGGGAGUAUGGUCGCAAGGCUGAAACUUAAAGGAAUUGACGGAAGGGCACCACCAGGGGUGGAGCCUGCGGCUUAAUCUGACUCAACACGGGAAAACUCACCGGUUCCGGACGUUAAAAGGAUAGACAGACUGAUAGAUCUUUCUUGAUAUAAUGUGUGGUGGUGCAUGGCCGUUCUUAGUUCGUGAAGUGAUUUGUCUUGGUCGAUUCCGGUAACGAACGAGACCAAAAUCUCCAUUUACAGUGCAAAAUAGUUGAUAAAUUUAUUUGUCAACUCUAGUUUUGAGUUCCAUAUGAUAAUGUAACAAUUAUGAUUUGGUUUUUGAGACUUUUCUUUUGCAAUGACGUGUACGGUAACGUAUGCGUCUGCAUGGAGAGACAACUGACUUAAAUCAGAGGAAGUUUGGCAAUAACAGGUCUGUGAUGCCCUUAGACGUACCGGGCUGCACGCGCGCUACAAUGACGGUGACAACGAGUUAUCUGGUCCGAAAGGAUUGGGAAAUCUUUGAAUCACCGAUCGUGAUGGGGACUGUCCAUUGUAAUUUGGACACGAAAUAGGAAUCCCUUGUACGUGCACUUCACUUAGAGUGCGCGGAAUGAGUCCCUGCCCUUUGUACACUCCGCCCGUCGCUACUACCGAGUGAUCUGGUCGAUCAUGCGCAGUCAUCAAAAGAGUGCCUGCAAUUUCCGUUGGUCCGAUAUGCCUGGCCUUCUCCUUCAGUUGC
This 1947-nucleotide ribosomal RNA is filed under the name Hennegoides sp. n. KN-2019. Its description in RNAcentral is "SSU rRNA". It matches the Rfam family "Eukaryotic small subunit ribosomal RNA". The record is from RNAcentral. Lineage: Eukaryota; Metazoa; Cnidaria; Myxozoa; Bivalvulida; Myxobolidae.